This 789-nucleotide ribosomal RNA is filed under the name Pluteus riberaltensis var. conquistensis. Its description in RNAcentral is "LSU rRNA". It matches the Rfam family "Eukaryotic large subunit ribosomal RNA", at positions 113 to 889 of the family's 3401-position model. Lineage: Eukaryota; Fungi; Basidiomycota; Agaricomycetes; Agaricales; Pluteaceae. The record is from RNAcentral.
AUUUAAAAUCUGGCAGUCUCUGGCUGUCCGAGUUGUAACCUAGAGAAGUGCUAUCCGUGCUGGACCAUGUAUAAGUCUCCUGGAACGGAGCGUCACAGAGGGUGAGAAUCCCGUCUUUGACAUGGACUCCCAGUGCAUUGUGAUGUGCUCUCAAAGAGUCGAGUUGUUUGGGAAUGCAGCUCAAAAUGGGUGGUAAAUUCCAUCUAAAGCUAAAUAUUGGCGAGAGACCGAUAGCGAACAAGUACCGUGAGGGAAAGAUGAAAAGAACUUUGGAAAGAGAGUUAAACAGUACGUGAAAUUGUUGAAAGGGAAACGCUUGAAGUCAGUCGCAUUGGCCGGUGAUCAAUCUUGCUUUGGCGAGGUGUACUCUCUGGUCAAUGGGUCAGCAUCAAUUUUGACUGCCGGAAAAAGGUCAGGGGAAUGUGGCAUCUCCGGAUGUGUUAUAGCCUCUGGUCAUAUACGGUGGUUGGGAUUGAGGAACUCAGCACGCCGCAAGGCCGGGUAUCUACCACGUUCGUGCUUAGGAUGCUGGCAUAAUGGCUUUAAUCGACCCGUCUUGAAACACGGACCAAGGAGUCUAACAUGCCUGCGAGUGUUUGGGUGGUAAACCCAUGCGCGCAAUGAAAGUGAAAGUUGAGAUCUCUGUCAUGGAGAGCAUCGACGCCCGGACCAGACCUUUUGUGACGGAUCCGCGGUAGAGCAUGUAUGUUGGGACCCGAAAGAUGGUGAACUAUGCCUGAAUAGGGCGAAGCCAGAGGAAACUCUGGUGGAGGCUCGUAGCGAUUCUGA